UUUAACGGCCGCGGUAUCCUAACCGUGCAAAGGUAGCGUAANCACUUGUCCUCUAAAUAAGGACCAGUAUGAACGGCUAAAUGAGGGCUGACCUGUCUCCCAAGGCCAAUCAGUGAAACUGAUCUACCAGUACAAAAGCUGGUAUAACAACAUAAGACGAGAAGACCCUGUGGAGCUUUAAAUCCAACCCAAGGCUUAUACUAAAAACCAACCAAAUGGGCUAAGAUUUUAAGUUGGGGCGACUUCGGAAUAAAACAAAACUCCCGAANAUAAAGAAAAUUACUCUAACUGAGGCCUACACGCCAAAGCAAAUAUUGACCCAGUAUUACUGAUCAACGAACCAAGUUACCCCAGGGAUAACAGCGCCAUCUUCUUCAAGAGUCCAUAUCGACAAGAAGGUUUACGACCUCGAUGUUGGAUCAGGACAUNCUAAUGGUGCAG
This 441-nucleotide ribosomal RNA is filed under the name Gambelia wislizenii (Longnose leopard lizard). Its description in RNAcentral is "partial 16S ribosomal RNA". It matches the Rfam family "Bacterial large subunit ribosomal RNA", at positions 1923 to 2558 of the family's 2925-position model. Lineage: Eukaryota; Metazoa; Chordata; Lepidosauria; Squamata; Crotaphytidae. The record is from RNAcentral.